UACAGAGGUGGCAAGCGUUGUUCGGAAUUACUGGGCGUAAAGGGCGGGUAGGCGGCCACCGCAAGUCAGUUGUGAAAUCUCCGGGCUUAACCCGGAAAGGUCAACUGAUACUGCGGGGCUAGAGUGCAGAAGGGGCAACUGGAAUUCUCGGUGUAGCGGUGAAAUGCGUAGAUAUCGAGAGGAACACCUGCGGCGAAGGCGGGUUGCUGGGCUGACACUGACGCUGAACUGCGAAAGCUAGGGGAGCGAACGGG
RNAcentral lists this ribosomal RNA (254 nucleotides) under uncultured bacterium. RNAcentral's name for it is "partial 16S ribosomal RNA". It matches the Rfam family "Bacterial small subunit ribosomal RNA", at positions 524 to 776 of the family's 1533-position model. The record is from RNAcentral.